RNAcentral lists this transfer RNA (96 nucleotides) under Kocuria flava. RNAcentral describes it as "tRNA-Pro". The record is from RNAcentral. Lineage: Bacteria; Bacillati; Actinomycetota; Actinomycetes; Micrococcales; Micrococcaceae.
CCGGGGCUCAGCGGCUCAGGGGCCGGUGGCCGCCGGUUCGGUGCCGGCCCGGGCGGAGGCCGGACCGGUGCCGUUCGGGCUCGGCCGCUCCGGACC